Molecule: ribosomal RNA, 254 nt
Filed under: uncultured bacterium
Lineage: Bacteria
Description: partial 16S ribosomal RNA
Rfam family: Bacterial small subunit ribosomal RNA
Source: RNAcentral
UACGGAGGGAGCGAACGUUGUUCGGAUUUACUGGGCGUAAAGGGCGCGUAGGCGGCCACCGCAAGUCGACUGUGAAAUCUCCGGGCUUAACCCGGAAAGGUCAGCCGAUACUGCGGGGCUAGAGUGCAGAAGGGGCAACUGGAAUUCUCGGUGUAGCGGUGAAAUGCGUAGAUAUCGAGAGGAACACCUGCGGCGAAGGCGGGUUGCUGGGCUGACACUGACGCUGAGGCGCGAAAGCUAGGGGAGCGAACGGG